AGGAAUAUAGUUAAAAAAUAACCUUUAAUUUGCAAUUAAAAAUUAUUGGAAUCAAUUAUUCUUA
This 64-nucleotide transfer RNA is filed under the name Ogcodes sp. LRC-2002. RNAcentral's name for it is "tRNA-Ala". The record is from RNAcentral. Lineage: Eukaryota; Metazoa; Arthropoda; Insecta; Diptera; Acroceridae.